GACGAACGCUGGCGGCGUGCUUAACACAUGCAAGUCGAACGGAAAGGCCCUGCUUUUGUUGGGUGCUCGAGUGGCGAACGGGUGAGUAACACGUGAGUAACCUGCCCUUGACUUUGGGAUAACUUCAGGAAACUGGGGCUAAUACCGGAUAGGAUCUCCUGCUGCAUGGUGUGGGUUGGAAAGUUUCGGCGGUUGGGGAUGGACUCGCGGCUUAUCAGCUUGUUGGUGUGGUAGUGGCUUACCAAGGCUUUGACGGGUAGCCGGCCUGGGAGGGUGACCGGCCACAUUGGGACUGAGAGACGGCCCAGAAUGCUACGGGAGGCAGCAGUGGGGAAUAUUGCACAGUGGGCGGAAGCCUGAUGCAGCAACGCCGCGUGCGGGAUGACGGCCUUCGGGUUGUAAACCGCUUUCGACUGUGACGAAGAGUGAGUGACGGUAAUGGGUAAAGAAGCACCGGCUAACUACGUG
This 468-nucleotide ribosomal RNA is filed under the name uncultured bacterium. RNAcentral's name for it is "partial 16S ribosomal RNA". It matches the Rfam family "Bacterial small subunit ribosomal RNA", at positions 28 to 507 of the family's 1533-position model. The record is from RNAcentral.